Molecule: ribosomal RNA, 776 nt
Filed under: uncultured fungus
Lineage: Eukaryota; Fungi
Description: eukaryotic LSU rRNA
Rfam family: Eukaryotic large subunit ribosomal RNA (bases 495-776)
Source: RNAcentral
CGAAGGAUCAUUAAAGUUAUAGUCCCCCGGCCCUCUGGGUUGGGGUCUUCUAUACCACCCUUUGUCUAUUACACCUUUGUUGCUUUGGCAGGCCUGCCCCCGGGCUGCUGGCUCCGGCCGGCGAGCGUCUGCCAGAGGACCUAAACUCUGUUUGUCUAUACUGUCUGAGUACUAUGUAAUAGUUAAAACUUUCAACAACGGAUCUCUUGGUUCUGGCAUCGAUGAAGAACGCAGCGAAAUGCGAUAAGUAAUGUGAAUUGCAGAAUUCAGUGAAUCAUCGAAUCUUUGAACGCACAUUGCGCCCCCUGGUAUUCCGGGGGGCAUGCCUGUCCGAGCGUCAUUACAACCCUCAAGCUCUGCUUGGUGUUGGGCCCCGCCGCCCCGGCGGGCCCUAAAGUCAGUGGCGGUGCCAUCCGGCUCCCGAGCGUAGUAAUUCUUCUCGCUCUGGAGGUCCGGGUGUGUGCUCGCCAGCAACCCCCCAAUUUUUUUCAGGUUGACCUCGGAUCAGGUAGGGAUACCCGCUGAACUUAAGCAUAUCAAUAAGCGGAGGAAAAGAAACCAACAGGGAUUACCUCAGUAACGGCGAGUGAAGCGGUAACAGCUUAAAUUUGAAAUCUGGCCUCACGGUCCGAGUUGUAAUUUCGUAGAGGAUGCUUCGAGCAUGGUCUGGCCUAAGUUCCUUGGAACAGGACGUCAUAGAAGGUGAGAAUCCCGUAUGCGGCCAGGUGCCUACGCUCAUGUGAAGCUCCCUCGACCAGUCGAGUUGUUUGGGAAUG